This is a long non-coding RNA of Cebus imitator (Panamanian white-faced capuchin), 830 nucleotides long. RefSeq lists it as uncharacterized. The record is from RefSeq and is a predicted model, not a curated record. The transcript is spliced from 4 exons. NCBI's taxonomy places the organism in Eukaryota, Metazoa, Chordata, Mammalia, Primates, Cebidae.
AGCUGAGCUGCAACCUUCCUGGGCCACCCACGCUCUACCUGCUUCUGCUCCUCAGACUCCCCACAACCACCUCUUUGAGGAGAUGUUCAAGUUCGUCCCACCCUCGCAGACUCUAGUGCGGGGCCUGGUACCAAGCGGGAGACAGCUGGCCUUGGGUACCCCUAGGGCCUCCCAUCAAUGCUGGGCAGGCCGGGGCCUGGGGCUGGCCAACCGAUGGAGAACUCUGGAGUGACUGACAGAGGCUCCCACCCAUCCCUAGAGACUUGCUGACUCACCGGGCCUCCUAACAGACAGACCAGCCUACUGAUGGGACUGGGGGGCACCCCUGAUGGCCUAGACUACAGGCAGGCAGUCAUGGGUUGAAAACUGACUGGCCGUUUGGCAGACUGAUCACCGAAAUCUGAUCAACACUCCCCUCCCCGGCUCAAGGAAUUGGCUCAGCCUCUACAUACUGCUGUUGGUUUCACCUCCCCCAUGGCCAGGAGGAGGCACACUUCUUUUUCUGGAGUUGGGAUGUUCAGGAGAGGGAAAGCUGUACCCUCUUCUCCAAGGAGACUCUGCCACCAGUCCCAGAGCAUGAAUCUCACCUCCAGCCUUGACUGGCUUCAUGUCUGAGAAAGUUGCUUAACUCAUCUCCAGGGUGCAGAGGACUCAGACCUGCAUCCUCUUAGAUCCAGCAGAUCUGCAAAUCUUGGGUUUCAGGGCUGAGGACUGAUGGACUGGAGUUGGGCUAUGGCCAGGGGUCACUUAGUCCAUACCCACCACUGAUAUGAGCCACCCAGCCCUGCACCAGGUGGGCACUCCUCCUUUGGUCCUGAGAAAGGCUGACU